Molecule: ribosomal RNA, 3246 nt
Filed under: Triticum aestivum (bread wheat)
Lineage: Eukaryota; Viridiplantae; Streptophyta; Magnoliopsida; Poales; Poaceae
Description: partial small subunit ribosomal RNA
Source: RNAcentral
AUGAUCAUCAGUUGCCCCCACCAGCGGGUCGUCAUUUCGGCGGGAGCCGUGCUGAUCGCCGUCGUGCUGCUGCUGGCUGGUCCGGUCGCCGGCGCGUGCGGCGACGGGGAAAGGGAGGCGCUGCUGGCCUUCCUCGACGCGCUCUCGCCGCGGGCUGGCGAUAACAUCGCCGCGUCCUGGCGGGGCUCGCCGGACUGCUGCGCGUGGGAGGGCGUGGGCUGCGACGACGCGGGAGGCGGCGGCGGCGCGGUCACCAGCGUCUCCCUCCCCGGCCGCGGCCUCGGCGGGACGAUCUCGCCGGCGGUGGCCAGCCUCCCCACGCUCGCGCACCUCAACCUCUCCGGCAACGGCCUCGCCGGCCCGUUCCCGGCCGAGCUGCUCGCCCUGCCCAACGCCUCCGUCGUCGACGUCAGCUACAACCGCCUCUCCGGCGCGCUCCCUGACUUACCGGCCGCCGCCGGACGCGCCCGCCUCCCGCUGCAGGUGCUGGACGUGUCGAGCAACCAUCUGUCCGGGCGGUUCCCGUCCGUGCUCUGGCGGUUCACCCCGGGCCUCGUGUCGCUCAAUGCCAGCAACAACAGCUUCGCCGGCGCGAUCCCGUCGCUCUGCGUCAUCUGCCCGGCGCUCGCCGUCCUCGACGUCUCCCUCAACGCGUUCGGAGGGCCCGUCCCACCCGGGUUCGGGAACUGCUCGCGGCUGCGGGUCCUCAGCGCCGGCCGCAACAACCUCACCGGCGAGCUCCCCGACGACCUCUUCGACGUGACGUCGCUGGAGCAGCUGGCGCUCCCGUCCAACCGGAUACAGGGCAGGCUCGAUCGCCUGCGGAUCGCCAGGCUGAUCAACCUCGUCAAGCUCGACCUGACCUAUAAUGCGCUCACCGGCGGGCUGCCGGAGUCCAUCGGCGAGCUCACCACGCUGGAGGAGCUCCGGCUCGGGAAGAACAACCUCACCGGCACCAUCCCGCUGGCGAUCGGCAACUGGACCAGCCUCCGCUACCUGGACCUUCGGUCGAACAACUUCGUCGGGGACCUCGGGGACGUUGACUUCUCCCGCCUCGCCAAUCUCACCGUCUUGGACCUGGCCUCCAACAACCUCACCGGCACCAUGCCGCCCAGCAUCUACUCCUGCACGUCCAUGACGGCCCUGCGCGUGGCCAACAACGAGAUCUCCGGGCAGGUGCCGCCGGAGAUCGGCAACAUGCGAGAGCUGCAGUUCCUCUCGUUGACCGUGAACUCUUUUACUAACAUCAGCGGCAUGUUCUGGAACCUCCAGGGCUGCAGGGACCUCGCCGCGCUGCUCGUGUCGUACAACUUCCACGGCGAGGCCCUGCCGGACGCCGGCUGGGUCGGCGACCACGUCAGCCACGUCCGGGUAAUCGUCAUGGAGAAUUGCGGUCUGACGGGCCAGAUACCGUCGUGGCUGUCCAAGCUGCACGGCCUCAACGUCCUGAACCUCGGCGGGAACCGCCUCACCGGCCCGAUCCCGAGCUGGCUCGGCGCCAUGAAGAGGCUCUACUACGUGGACCUGUCGGGCAACCAGUUCGCCGGAGAGAUACCGCCGUCGCUGAUGGAGCUGCCGUUGCUGACGUCGGAGAAGGCCAUGGCGGAGUUCAAACCGGGCCAUCUGCCGCUCGUGUUCACCCUGACGCCGAACAACGGCGCGGAGGUCAGGACGGGCCGCGCGUACUACCAGAUGUCCGGCGUCGCCGCCACGCUCAACCUCAGCGACAACGACCUCUCUGGCGCGAUCCCGCGAGAGGUCGGGCAGAUGAAGAUGCUGCAGGUGCUCGACCUCAGCCACAACAACCUCUCCGGCGGCAUCACGCCGGAGCUCAGCGGCCUCGCCAAGAUCGAGAUUCUUGACCUCCGCAUGAACCGUCUGACGGGCUCGGUCCCGCCGGCGCUCGCCAAGCUCCACUUCAUCUCCGACUUCAACGUUGCGAACAACGAUCUCGAGGGCCCGAUCCCGACGGGCGGGCAGUUCAAUGCGUUCCCGGCAGCGAAUUUCGCAGGGAACCCGAAGCUUUGCGGCCAGGCGAUCUCGGUCCGCUGCAGCAAGAAAAGCGGAAUGGCGCCGGGCAAGUCUUCGCCGUCCAAGACCAUGGGCAAGAGACUGCUUGUUGCCAUCGUUCUUGGAGUCUGCUUCGGCGUGGUUGGCGUCGUCGUCUUGACCGGACUCGCCGUGAUCGCCAUCAGAAGGUUCAUAUCGAACGGGUCCGUCAGCGACGGCGGCAAGUGCUCGGAGUCGGCCCUGUUCGACUACUCCAUGUCGGAUCUGCACGGCGACGAGUCCAAGGACACGAUCUUGUUCAUGUCCGAGGAGGCCGGCGGCGGCGACCCGACGAGGAAGAGCUUCACGUUCGUGGACAUCCUGAAGGCGACCAACAACUUCAGCCCGGAUCAGAUCAUCGGAACGGGGGGCUACGGCCUGGUGUUCCUAGCGGAGCUGGAGGGCGGCGUGAGGCUGGCCGUGAAGAAGCUCAACGGCGACAUGUGCCUGGUGGAGCGGGAGUUCCGGGCGGAGGUGGAGGCGCUAUCGGUGACGCGGCACGAGAACCUCGUCCCCCUCCAGGGCUUCUGCAUCCGCGGCCGGCUCCGGCUGCUGCUGUACCCGUACAUGGCCAACGGCAGCCUCCACGACUGGCUGCACGACCGGCGGCCGGAGCAGCCGGAGCUGGACUGGCGCGCGCGGCUACGGAUCGCGCGGGGCGCCGGGCGCGGGGUGCUGCACAUCCACGAGGCGUGCACGCCGCAGAUCGUGCACCGGGACAUCAAGUCGAGCAACAUCCUGCUGGACGAGUCCGGCGAGGCGCGGGUGGCGGACUUCGGGCUGGCGCGGCUCAUCCUGCCGGACCGGACGCAUGUGACGACGGAGCUGGUGGGCACGCUGGGGUACAUCCCGCCCGAGUACGGGCAGGGGUGGGUGGCGACGCUGCGGGGCGACGUGUACAGCUUCGGCGUGGUGCUGCUGGAGCUGCUCACCGGGAGGCGGCCGGUGGAGAUGAUGGCGGCGGCGGGGCAGCCGAGGGACCUCGUCGGGUGGGUGACGCAGAUGCGGUCGGCCGGGAGGCGCGCCGAGGCGCUGGACCCGCGGCUGAGGCAGGGGAGCCGGCCGGGCGACGAGGCGCAGAUGCUCUACGUGCUCGACCUCGCCUGCCUCUGCGUCGACGCCAUCCCGCUCAGCCGGCCGGCGAUCCAGGAGGUGGUCAGCUGGCUCGACAACGUCGACACCAUCGGCGCGUCCUGA